GGAAUUCUUAUUUUGUUUAUCUCAAACCUUGUUCCUCACGGUGAAAACCUAUUUAGGCACCAAAGAAAACAAACGAAUGAAAUUUUUCUACCCCAGUUUUCGCUAGGAAAAUUUCGUGAUUAAUUGUAACAAAAUCUAAACUGUUUUUUAUUGAAAACAAUAAAAUCAGUAUUGUGUAUCCUUGGGAAAAGAUAUUAGGUAGUGGAGCCCUAUAUCUAUAUUAAAAUCAACCAGGGAAUGAAGACCCUAUGUUGGAAAAACGACUAGGGAGUAGAGACCCUAUGCCUAAAUAACUUCAACUAAGGAGUGGAGACCCUAUGUUGGAAAAGCGACUAGGGAGUAGAGACCCUAUGUCUACAAUAAAAUCAACUAGGGAGUGGAGACCUUAUGUUAAAAAAGCGACUUGGGAGUGGAGACCCUAUGUCUAAGAUAAAAUCAACUAGGGGGUGGAGAUCCUAUGUUGGAAAGGCGACUAGGGAGUGGAGACCCUAUGUUUAAAAAUAAACUCAACUACGGAGUGGAGACCCUAUGUCUAAAAAUAAACUCAACUAGGGAGUGGAGACCCUAUGUUGGAAAUACGACUAGGGAAUGGAGACCCUAUGUCUAAAAUAAAGUCAACUAGGGAGUGAAGACCCUAUGUUGGAAAGGCGACUAGGGAGUGGAGACCAUAUGUCUAAAAUAAACUCAACUAGGGAGUGUAGACCCUAUGUUAGAAAAGCGACUAGGGAGUGGAGACCCUAUGUUGGGAAAGCGACUAGGGAGUGGAGACCCUAUGUCUAAAAUAAAAUCAACUAGGGAGUGGAUAGCUUAUGNNNNNNNNNNNNNNNNNNNNNNNNNNNNNNNNNNNNNNNNNNNNNNNNNNNNNNNNNNNNNNNNNNUAAAAGUCUACUAGGGAGUGGAGACCCUAUGUUGGAAAGGCGACUAGGGAGUGGAGACCUUAUAUCUAAAAAUAAACUCAACUAGGGAGUGGAGACCCUAUGUUGGAAACACGACUAGGAAGUGGAGACCCUAUGUCUAAAAUAACUUCAAGUAGGGAGUGAAGACCCUAUGCGUAAAAUAAAAUCAACUAGGGAGUGGAGACCCUAUGUUGGAAAAACGUAACUAGAGAUUGGGGACCCUAGGCUACCAUGAUUUUGAAUUUUUCUUCUUUCUUCUUCUUUUUGUUUUAAGAAAAUGAAUAAAAAUGCAGGAAAGAAUUCGGAGGAGACUUCCCUUUUGGAUUGAUUAUUGCUUCAAAGCUGUUUCUAGACCUUGCACAGUUUCUCUUUGGUUGCACCUGCUUCUUGCAAGGUUGCUUUGGAUUGUACCUGUUUCAUGUUUUCAAACAACGAACAAUUGUUAGUUUGAAAUGGUGGUUGGUUUUGUGGCCUUGAUUGUUUCAAUCACUUGAUCUUGGCCCGGCUUCUUUGAUGAAGAUCUCAAUUGCAACUGCUCGUUUCUUGAGGACCGAUUUCAUUUCAGGCCCUGAGAACCUCUGAUUUUUUCCAGAUUUUGCCAUGACAGUUGGUCGGUGGAACUCAACCUUUUUGACUUUAUUCUGCCUUCGUAGGCCUUUCACUUCCGGCUUCUUUCUUCCAACAUCAAUUUCAGAGCAUUUGGGGUACCUUGGCUUUUUCAAAUCUUUGCUGAGACGAUUAGCCACGUGGAACUCAACCUUUUCAACUUCUAAGAGUUUUUAAUUUCAAAACAUCAGCCAUCAUGGCCGGUCGAAGUCGACUUGAUGCCCUUGCGAAGGCUGGGUGUCUUCUUGUAUAUUAGCUCAUGUCAAAUGAGAACCCUGUAAAUCAGUCUUCUCAUCCCUUCUUUGUCUCAGUUGCGGAAUAGAGUUAGACCGAAAGGAAUUCAAAGAAAAAUAAAUAAUGGACAGGAUGAUGAAUUUAAAACAAGUAGUGUCCCUUUCGAGGAAAGGAAGAAGGACUUAUCUGGGGUACAUGCGGACUUCAAUGAACAUGACAUGCCUUUUGGACUGGAUGCAUGAUCUGUGUAAACCGUCCGACUCUGAGAAAUUCAUCACAACUUUUGCCUCAAAAUCGAGAAACCUUGCCAGGACUCUUUCAGUGUCAAUGGUUGUAAGGUAUUCCUUCUUUUCGAUCAACGGCGCCCUUUGCGGGUUUUCGCCAAUUAACCUCUCUCAUUUCUCUUCUCACCGUCGCCUUAUAGUGCUCUUUACGAGUUUUCACAAACAAGACUCUCUCAUCUUCAAUUUCUCUGCUCACUAUCGCCUUACGGUGCCCGUGUGAGUUUUCACCAAUAAAACUCUCUCAUUUUAUUUCUCUCAUCUUGAUUGUAUUAGAUCUAAAUAGUUACGUUCUCCGAUUCUUAAACAUUCUCAUUGAUUGAUCGGAAGGACUUGAACAGGGUUCAGAGUAAAAGGAAUUUGGAUCAAAUUACAACUUUGGAAUCUUUUGGCGAACCGUCACUGAAUCAUUAUAACAUCUGUUCCACUUUCACUUUGGGGGGAAAUUGAAUUUUUGUUUUGGUGUGACUGAACCCCAGAGAGAAGUUGUCUACGUAUCCUUUCGGAAUCAAGUCGAACAUAGUUCAGGAAACUUUCUUUUUGAUUUUCUUUUGUUUUCUGUUUUGUUUUGUUUUCCCUUUCUUUUUCCUCUUUUUUUUUCAUUUCAUUGUCUUUUCUUCCCCCUCUUUUUUGUAUCUUUCUUUUCUUCUCUUUUUCUUUUUGCCCUUUUCUUCCUUUUUUGUAAUUUUUCUUUUUUUCUCUUUUCAUUUUUUUUCAUUUCAUUUUUUAUUUUUUAUUCAAUAACACUUUCAAGUUUCAAAGAGGGUAAUCAAAGAAAAGUAACCAGCUCAAAGGGUUUUCAAAGGAUUGAUAGUGUUUGGGUAACGAAAAUAAAAGCCUUCUUCAUCUCAACCGGAGAACAUUAUUGUUAUAUAGAAGAUCCAACAUAGUACCUUUUGACUGCACCUGGGUUGAGAGUUGUUUCAGGAUCUUUUCCUUCGACAUUUCCCAGGUACGACGCUCUCUUUGUAGUACCUUUGUUACCAUGUAGGAAUCUUUCCAAUUUGGAGCCAAUUUUCCUUUAACUGUUCCAACUCUUUGUUUUAUUUCCUAAAACUUAUCUUCAUUGCAAUCUAAUUCUUGAUUCAUUAUUUCAAUUUCUGACAACAUUUUAGGAUCCGAGCAUGAAGUCCGCAAGCAUGUCAUGUUAUUGAAAUCUGCAUUUGACAGAACAAAAAAGAGAAUAAGAAAAAUGACAAGAUUAAGAAAAGAGACAUUCCUGGACAAUGAAAUAUUAAUUUCAUUUGAUAUUUUUUAUUUUUCGUUUUUUUGUAUUAUUUUUUUCAAUUUUUUGAAGAUAGAAGGGUUUACAUCAGAAAGUAAGACAAUAAAUUAAAAUAUUCGUACCACACUCUAAGAUAAUCCGGACGCAGAAAGGAUAGCAAGACUGGAUACCGAUACUCCCCUCUGAUGGGGAACUUUCAUGCUUGGCGACCAUAUUUUGGCUUUUCUUCUAUCUCGGCAAUGGCUGCAAUGGCCUUCAGUGCCAGAUCAAGUUCCUCAUCUUCACAAAUCAUUCCGACUAUGCAAACCGAAACAAACAGAUGCGAAAGUAGCACGUAAGAUGCAUCAGGAUGGUCUUUUUAAUUUGGGUACACCUAUCCUAGACGGACUCAACCCCUAUGUUGAGUCCCCAAUGUCAAUUGCAUGUGAUGCAAAUAAGCGUUCCUACUAGGGAUCCGGCAUAAGGCUAUGUUAUUCUAGGUUUAAAAACCUGGUGUAUUUGUUCUAGACCUGGCUUACCCGAGCAGACAGCUCGAGCCGAUGGGGGGCAGCAUACUGGUAAUACAGAAGUUUCACCGGCUUUGCACCUUGUCCGAACCUCGUUCUAAAAUUGGGAUAUGACUCUAACAGAAAAUAAGUUACAUGAAGUGUACACUUCCCAGAUGAUUUAGAAGACUCAGAGAGAAGAGGAUUUCGUAACAGUUUAUAUACAAUUCAAACAAUAUCAAAGCGGUAAAAAGCGGCAUUUAGUACAUUAGGCCCAAACAUAUAAAAAUCAGAUAAUAAAUAAAGCCAAGUAUAACAGUCAUUCUAAGUUCGAAUUCUUGAACCCUAAACCAAAUGUUCUGGGUUAUGGUCCUCAGCAGAGUCGCCAGAGCUGUCACACUUCCUUUUGACCACCCGAGGGGGAUAUAAGGGAGUUUUUCUAAUUAAAGUGACAUUAAUCAAAAUGGUAUUAUUUUAUUAAAUUUAUCAGAUUCGCCACUUGGGAUAAUUAUUUGGUGUCCCAAGUCAUCGGUUUAUUUUGAAAUCCCAAAUCGAGGAAAUUUUGACUUUAUUUUUAAAAAGUCUGCGAACCAGAAAUUCUAAGUAAGGAAUUCUGUUAACCCGGGAGAAGGUGUUAAGCAUUUUCGGGUUCCGUGAUUCUAGCACGGUCGCUUAAACUAUUAAUAUUGCCCUAUUAUCUAAUUUGCUACAUAUUUUAAACAUAAUAUGCAUUUUUAAUUUUAUAGCCGCUUUUAAUUACUUUAAACUGCUUUUAGGAUUUAUGGAAUUGUUUCUUAAACAAGUUACGAUUGUCGUACACUUGCCGUUUUGGAACAUACCACAAAUUACGCUACAUGAAAUGUACCUGCGAUUCGCGAUACGUUUAUUUUUAUUAAUAUUUAAAGUUGUUAUGAUCGGGUUACAUGAAAUGCACCCCCGAAUUUUGGAACUAGGCAUCGUAACUAUGUCACGGGAACCGUACCCAUAGUCACGAUGGUAUAUUAAUCGCGCCUAAAGCAACUAGCGCGUGUAAAAAAAGGUUGUUUUUCUAUACUAAGUUAAUAUUAAUGCGAGGGCCAUAGCUUAUGGAUUUUAUUUGUGUAUGGUACACCUCAAAUUAUUUUAAGAAAAGGUUUAUAUAUUUUUUCUUCUAAGGAAAACUAAAGAUGCUCCUACUUUAAUCUAAUUUUGCAUCACAACCAUGUCACGGAACCGUACCCGUAGUUGUAAUAAUUUACAAAAAAAAAUGCCAAGUUCGCAAGGUUUCUCUCCAAAAAUUUCAACUACUGCCUACUUUCCAUUUUAGUGCAUUUCAAACUGUUAACCACUGUCGUAAAUAUAGCAAGUUUUUAUUCCUCCAAUAUUCAAACUAAUAUAAAAUAGUACUCUUUCCAUUGGAUCAACUUUGAGUUGACACCUCUAUACCUUUAUGCUCCUUGAUAAUCAACCAAAGUAAAAAUCGAAAUGAGAUAAAUUUGACUCAAAUCUUUUCCUUUGGUUUGUUCCUUUGGAUUCACAGACCCCGACAUCAGAUAUAGAAGCAGAGGUUCCUUUCUUCUAAGAGUAGAAACAAAAUGAAAGCUCCACUGCUCUCUUUUUCUUUUCACUUCAUUUGUUUUAUUUGUUGGAGGAUUUUGUUGAAAGUGUAUUAUAACAUAAAGAAAUACAGAUGAUUUAGUGGAGCAAGUGAAGCAUCUAUUUUCAAAUGAAUCUGACGGACACGACCAUGUGGUUCGCCAUUUUAUUGAUAUUCUGAAAUUGUGGAUUACACAAAAAAAACACAAACAUGCAUAUGUAUAUUUUGCUAGUAAUUUGCUUAGUAAGUUCACAGAGAUUCAAUUCAAGCUACUGAGAUCAGAAACAAGGUUAUAGCAGUGUAAUUAAUUACUCCUCAUGUCAUUAUAAAAUGAUUUCCACAACCGGCAACUUCUACAAUAACGUAGGAGGGAGCUGAUUGACUCAAUGACUUCAGUGAUGUUUAAAAUCUUUCAUUCAGGACCUUCAACACAAGUAGAUCUAGAUUAAAUUCGAACCACCAUCAUAGAUUCAUAAAUAAAAAAAAAUUAGACUUUCCUAAAUUAUUCAAAUCCAUCAAGACCCUAUUCAAACAACUCAAAAUCUUAGUGGAGAACAAUAUAUUCAGCAUUAAACAUCGAUUAAGAAUAAGAGAAAAAGCAACAGAACUUGAAGCUUAGGAAAACAUCUCUUAAUCAGUAUGAGACUUAGCAGGUAUACAACAAAGUUUCAUCCAUAAUUCAGAAUAAGAGAAUAAGUUAGGAUUUACAUACCUAAAGCAAAGAAAUAUAAGGCAAUGACCAAAUAAAGGUUAAGUUUGAGGGCAAAUGGAGCUUGAUUAAAUAGGAGCAACCAAGCAGUAAUCAGCAGCCUCAUGAGUUCAAAUCCAGCAGCUUCUAAACCCGGAAAAUUGUUCCCCAACUCUUGCCUUUAGAUCCUUUUCUAAGUUUUUUUUCCGUCUCCCUUUUUGUGUGUGCUUGUGUAUGUUCAUGAAUGGGAAAGGUGAGAAGAGGAGAGUGGGGGGGGGGGGGGGGGGGGNN
Molecule: long non-coding RNA, 6282 nt
Filed under: Nicotiana tabacum (common tobacco)
Lineage: Eukaryota; Viridiplantae; Streptophyta; Magnoliopsida; Solanales; Solanaceae
Description: long non-coding RNA (NTAB_LNC004305)
Source: RNAcentral